UUGCUUUCUUCAGUAGACUGCUCCCAGAAACAGAGUGUCAAGCAAAGACCAUCUGAAGUUCCAAGAACAGGGAUUCUAAUGUGGAUCAUGUACCUAAGAAAUGCUGGAUCUACUCUAUCCCUAUGGAUUGUAUUAGAGAUCCUGGAUUGGUUCAAUAUCCGGUUUAAGGAUGCCAGCAGGCCCAUGAAGGUGGAGGACCAAAAGGAGGUCCUCCCAUACUGAAGAAGCUGCAGACUGAAUCUAAGGGACACCAUCUUGCUGUGCCUAUGGUAUUUGUGUGUAGAUGGAGAGCGGUCACCAAUCCUCUCUCUUUGACUGGGUCUAAGAGCCUAUUUGAUUUACAACCACUAAUGAGUCUAAACAAGAAGAGGCUCUUGUCUUAAGGUGAUGAUAAUUAGGUACAAGUUACGUUAGCUAAUUAGAUAUUGUCACUAAGAUCACUGGUGACAUAGAUGACACAUCUGUCCUCUUCGAAAUCCAGAGCUAUUCUUCCAAUGUCUCCACUCAAGUCUGUAUGAUAUUAUCAGAUUAGGUAGAGUUAAUAGCUAAAUGCUAUUUUCCAUACAAACCCUUCCAAAAUGUUUACCUUUAUACAACAUAUCCUCAAGGUUUCAUUUUCCUUGUUAUUAACAUUUGUACACAAAUAAAUAUAUGAUUUCAGAAAAUCAGGCUGCCUAGAGGUUUUACAAUUCUUUCAGAGCGUUUUCACUUCAAAUAUUGGAAGAUUGGUAGGCCUUUGCCUUCAGGGCUUCUGACCUUGACUCUGUCUUGACCCUGUGUGGUCUAUGAACUGUCUUUCCACUGGAGGAUGUUUUAUCUCUUUGAUGUCCUUCUCACAGGAUUUUGUUCCUGUUAACCUGGUGUUUGUUUAUUCCCUUUUCUGGAGGACCCUAUUGUCAUGAAUUUUGUUAAGCAAUUCUUCCCUGCUGAUUGCCCCAUGGGCAUCUUUAAUCCUGUGAAUUUCAAUCAUGGAAGACAGCUGCUUCAUGGAAACACAUCCUUUCUUCUUUGCAGACCCACAGAUUUUGGAAUUAGGUAAUUUGUUUUUAUUGAUCAUUUCCUCAAUCUUUUUUUUAAAUACUCUUUGGGGGAUGUGGGCAUCGCUGACUUGCCAGCAUUCAUUGUCCAUCCCAACUCGCUCUUGAGAAGGUUUUAGUGAACUACUUUCUAGAUUUGCUGCAGUCCACCUACUGUGAGGUGACCCACAAUACCAUUAGAGAGGAAAUUGCAGGAUUUUGAUCCAGCAACAGUGACGGAAUGGUCCUUCGAGAUGGAAGUGGUCGUGGUCUGCUUUCUGUGCAAUAAUAGGCAGGU
Chiloscyllium plagiosum (whitespotted bambooshark) is the source of this 1314-nucleotide non-coding RNA. The record is from RefSeq and is a predicted model, not a curated record. NCBI's taxonomy places the organism in Eukaryota, Metazoa, Chordata, Chondrichthyes, Orectolobiformes, Hemiscylliidae.